GACGAACGCUGGCGGCGUGCCUAAUACAUGCAAGUCGAACGCAGUGGGGACGGGUGAGUAACACGUGGGUAACCUCCCGUCUGAGGGGAUAACACUUGGAUACAAGUGCUAAAACCGCUAUGGGUGGAUGGAGCCGCUGGGCAUUAGGGAGUUGGUGGGGUAACGGCUCACCAAGGCCACGAUGCUUAGCCGGCCUGAGAGGGUGAUCGGCCACACUGGAACUGAGACACGGCCCAGACUCCUACGGGAGGCAGCAGUAGGGAAUCUUCGGCAAUGGACGAAAGCCUGACCGAGCAACGCCGCGUGAGUGAAGAAGGUUUUCGGGUCGUAAAGCUCUGUUGUGAGAGAAGCGGUAUCUAACCAGAAAGCCACGGCUAACUACGUGCCAGCAGCCGCGGUAAUAC
This 404-nucleotide ribosomal RNA is filed under the name uncultured bacterium. RNAcentral describes it as "partial 16S ribosomal RNA". It matches the Rfam family "Bacterial small subunit ribosomal RNA", at positions 28 to 526 of the family's 1533-position model. The record is from RNAcentral.